This is a microRNA precursor of Oryza rufipogon (brownbeard rice), 207 nucleotides long. It matches the Rfam family "MIR812 microRNA precursor family". The record is from Rfam. Lineage: Eukaryota; Viridiplantae; Streptophyta; Magnoliopsida; Poales; Poaceae.
AAUAAGUACAGUUUUGUACUGUUUAUGUACAACGUUUGACCGUUCGUCUUAUUUGAAAAUUUUUUAUGAUUAAUAUUUUUAUUGUUAUUAGAAGAUAAAACAUGAAUAGUACUUUAUGUAUGACUAAUUUUUUUAUUUUUUUCACAAAUUUUUCAAAUAAGACGGACGGUCAAACGUUGGACACGGAUACCCACGAUUGCACUUAUU